RNAcentral lists this non-coding RNA (70 nucleotides) under Chloropicon laureae. Lineage: Eukaryota; Viridiplantae; Chlorophyta; Chloropicophyceae; Chloropicales; Chloropicaceae. The record is from RNAcentral.
ACAAACUCUUUCGUUUUCUGCUUUCCUCCCUCAUUUUUUUUUUUCUUUUCAUUUUUUCAUAUUUCUUUUU